RNAcentral lists this ribosomal RNA (253 nucleotides) under uncultured bacterium. Its description in RNAcentral is "partial 16S ribosomal RNA". It matches the Rfam family "Bacterial small subunit ribosomal RNA", at positions 524 to 776 of the family's 1533-position model. The record is from RNAcentral.
GACGUAGGGCGCGAGCGUUGUCCGGAUUUAUUGGGCGUAAAGAGCUCGUAGGCGGCUUGUUGCGUCAGCUGUGAAAACCCGCAGCUCAACUGUGGGCUUGCAGCUGAUACGGGCAGGCUUGAGUUCGGUAGGGGAGACUGGAAUUCCUGGUGUAGCGGUGAAGUGCGCAGAUAUCAGGAGGAACACCGGUGGCGAAGGCGGGUCUCUGGGCCGAUACUGACGCUGAGGAGCGAAAGCGUGGGGAGCGAACAGG